Molecule: long non-coding RNA, 6180 nt
Filed under: Sus scrofa (pig)
Lineage: Eukaryota; Metazoa; Chordata; Mammalia; Artiodactyla; Suidae
Description: lncRNA (ENSSSCG00040037307.1)
Source: RNAcentral
GGGAAAUAGCUGAUAUGCCCAGAUAACUGCACCAUUUUGAUAAUUUACAUAAGCAGAGACCUGGAAAAUAGUCUGAGGAUGAUAUAUAAGGUGAUAGAGCAAGAAGGAUUGUCUGUAAUAGUGGAUCAGGCUGAAUUUAUCUAUAUGGUUCUUGGUUAGUCGACUGAAACCUGAACUUAGUGAUGCUGAGAUGCUCAAACUUCCCUGGCAUAAUAGAGAGGAAAGUCAAAAUGCAUAAGAAAUAAGAAUAUUAAGGUGGAUUUAUCUUGUGCAGACUCACUCCUAGCCUCACUAAGUCCACUGAAAGGUCCAGGUUGUACUUCCUUUACUAAAGUAUUGAGAAUAGCAUUAGUGAGGGGACAUCCAAAAUCUUGAAUAGCUCUGUUGUGGCCAUCUGCAGGCUGGGAGGUGCUACCUCUGAGGUGGUUUUCCUGAUUUCUAGAAGUAGCAGAAACCACGUGAUAACACCAAAUUUCCAGAGACAAAGUCUUUGGACAGAAUGACCAUAAAGGAGCAACAAGGAUGAAAUGCUUAUCAUCAUUUGAACAGUUUUAAACCUGCAGGUAUUUUUGGCAGUGGCUAGUUGAUCACAAUGCCCCAAGGAAUGAAAUAUAUAGGCAGUCUUGGAGUUUCCAUUGUGGCUCAGUGGUAAUGAACCUGACUAGUAUCUAUGAGGACUCGGGUUUGAUCCCUGGCUUUGCUCAGUGCGUUAAGGACCUGGCAUUACCGUGAGCUGUGGUGUAGGCUGCAGAUGCAGCUCGGAUCCUGCCUUGCUAGGGCUGUAGUGGAGGCUGGCAGCUAUAGCCUGAUUUGCAUGUGCUGGUCAGAAAUUUGGCGAGAGAUGCCAGGAUGGAGGAUACAGGUUUCCCACCCAGCUUCAAAGCCUAAGUCAAGUCACAGACCAGAGCCCUUGAUGGCAAGGAAGACUGAGUUUUCUGGAGACAAGUCCCUGCAACCACCAUGUCUGCCUCCACAAAUUCUCCAAAGGGAUAGGAAGCCAUUUCCUAGGAUGACUGUACACAGGUUAAUGGGUAAGAUCAAGAUCUUUCAGGAAUUUCAGACCUGGGUCUGAUUAAAUAUUAAUCAUUAGGUACUAAUAUUAGAGUGGAGCCUAUGGAGGUUUGGUGACAAAUUGAGCCCAAUUCUAUCUUGUAGUAAUCAGAUGAUCUGUAGAGCCUCCUUGUGUUUAUUUUCCUGGUUCUUCUACAUAAAAUUGGAAUAGUCAUAUUCAGCAGCCACUCAAAUUGAAAAUGAGCGGGGCCCUGUGGGGCUCCUUGGCACAAAAACCUUUCUGUAUACCCUGUUUCUUGUUUUUAGGAAAUAGACCCCACUCAGCCUCCAUGACCUUCCCUGAGUUCCAAAGGGCAGGUGCAAACAGUUGUUAAUCAAGGAAGGAGGGGGAUGCAGAGACAAGGAAGGAGCAGUCAAGAAACAGUAGUGUAGCCUUGGGGCAGGGUCCUGGUUUUUCCUCGAGGAAUGCACAUGACAGUAUCUUUGAGUUCUUCUGAAGACCUAAACCCCCAACAAAUUAACUACCUGAUGAAGCAUUCUUCACUCCCAGACCACCAGAACCAGUCCCAGGGACACUAAACACCAAUACAAGCUUGGUCCACCCUGAUGCUUAUCUGCAACCCAAUUUUCCACUCCAAGAAAAUUUAAAAAUAUUUCCUAUUCUCUCCCAGAGGUGGGCACUGGCUUUAGGGCAUUAGCCUGCUGUGGCCUCCUUUGCCUGGCAAAAAAAUAGAACUAAUUUUUUUCUUCCUUCACCCAGAACUCUGUCUUGGAGUUUCUAUUGAGCACCAGUGGACAGGAGCCAAGUUUUGGCAACAAAAUCCCCUCAAUGACCACUGAUCCAAGAAAAAAAACUCUUUUUGUAGGAAAGGCCAAACAGAAGCCUCUGGAACCUACCCCCUCCAUUCGGAUAGUAAACCCAAGGCAAAACCAUACAUCAAGGUAAACUGCAAAGAUAAGUACCACUGUUAAAAGACCUGAAAGAUGCAGGGGGGGUGAUUUUUCUCAGAUCUCAUCAAAUUUGGUCACAGGGCUUGUGCAGGAGGUAGAUGGAUCUUGGGGAGAGACUGCAGAGGAUUGUAAACUUAAUUAUGUGCUGACACCAAUUACAGCAGCUGUUCCAGAUGUGGAAUCUCUCCUGGAACAAAUCAACACAACCCCUGGAAGCUAUUACACAGCUAUUCAUAUAGCAAAUGCUUUUAGCACCGUAUCGGUUUACAUGGGCUGCAAGAAGUGGUUCUCUUUCACCUGGCUGGGGCCGCAUUACACCUUCCUGGAUGCCCUCAGACUAUGCCAAUGCUCCUAUUCUUUGCCAUCUAAUCCAGAGAGAUUAGUCAUCUUGGCGUUCUACAGAAUGGUCACUGCCUAAUAUCAGAAAGUACCUGGGAAGUUUUAGUAAGAUACACUGGUUCCAGAGGAUAAGAGAUAAAUCCCAUACCAUUUCAAAGGCCUAUAACUUCAGGGACCAGUCUAGAUCUCCUAUGAUCUAAGUCAUCUCCAACAGAGCCUUCAAUGUAGAGGACAAGUAUUUGCACCUUAUACCACCUACCACUAAGAAGAGCAACAUUUUUCAGACUUCUUUGAAUAUUGGAGGGAACAUGGACCUCAUUUGAGUAUGAUGUUCAGACUUAUUUAUCAAGUGAAUUGAAAGUUUUUAAGAGGGUCUCAGAGAAAGACGAAACUCUGCAUAAAGUCCAGGCUUCAGGGCAAAUUACUCUGAUACUUGGUCCCUAUGACCCAUCAGAUCCUACGUCACACAAAUUUUCUGAAGCUCUCUGUGUCUAUUGGCAAAAAUCAUUGUGGAGAACCUUAGGAUUUUGCAAAAAAACUCAUCUGUUUUCUAUAGACAAGUAUUCCUUUGAAAAAUAGUGCUGGGCCCUGGGAGUGCUUGAAUGUGUGACUCCAAGUGAUCUGAGCUUCUCAUUUUAAGUUGAAUAUUAAUGGACCUGUCAAGUCAUAAGGUUAGGCAUGCAUACACUUAGGUCUCCUUGGUUGUAACUGUGCAGUGUGACCUCCUCUACCUGUGGUAGCUGAUGGCAGAGUAUUUAACCUAUCGUAUUCUGGAAGUGAUAAGCAGCAAGGGGGGAGGGGGAGGGGACUGGCUUCAGGGCACACCAAUCAGCAGUGUCUGCCACUGGCAAAACUAGUCAUCGUCUGUUUCUGGUGACAGAAACUGCCUCGUGAGACCCACCCCCGCUGGGAAUACUACACUAUGUUUAGACAAAAGAUGGUGGCCAUCUUUUUCUGCUUCCAGAGACAAAAAUAAGUUCACAUCAUCUAAAAGCUAUCAGAAUGGGUACAGAGCACAGAUAAUUUUUAGGUUAUUGGUAAUUUUGUGAGGCAUUGGGACAUUUCUUACAGUCUGAUUCUUGUGUUAAAGUCUCUGAAAGAGAGUUAAGUAGGCUUGGGUCAAUAAAGAGGUUGUACAACUUGGGCCAAGUUUGAUUUCUGUCUGUGGUGUAAACAGAUGAUGACAAGAUCAAUAAAUUCUCCCAGGUCUUAGGUUAUCUUUCCUUGUGUUUCCAAUUAGAGGAAACGAACCUCACAGAGUAUUUCCAAUUGAAGUAUCCAGGCCUCUGGUUUUUCUAAGACAGAGCUGGCACAAAAUUGAUGUGCUGAUGUUGCUAAAAUUUGGGGGAGCCAAGGAUUACCCUCUUAAGAUUUAUUAAAUAGACCUGGGGCCAAACUUACCCAAUUAUCUGGAUUAAAGUGUUUUGCAAGAAUCAUGGUCUACAACCCAGUGAAAUUUUAAGGAAAUCCGAGAUUCAGAAUUCAUCUUAAAAGCUUUCCUCUUUGGCUCCGGGCAGUUCAUUGGAUGUUGUGUCAUCACUGGGAGAAUUCUGUAUCCCAUUUGACAUGGCAUGGGUAUCACAUUGCUGCAGAUGUGGAAACUACUGCUCACCCAGACAUCCUACAUGACCACUUCUUCAGAGGCCUUGCCAUAGGCUACCUUUUUUGUGUGCAUGUGUGGCAAUAUUUUAGUAAUUUUUAAAAAGUAAUUAGAGUAUAAUAUAUGUAUACUAAAAAUCAAUAAUGAUAAAUGUCCAGUUUGGUGAAUUUUUUAUCAUCUGGACAUGUGCAUGUAACCUGCACCCAGAUCAAGAAUGAAAAUGCUUCCUUCCUAUCAACACUUCCUCUUCCAAAAGUGACAAGUCUCUUGAUUUUUUUCAAUGUUUAUUGAGAUACAAUUGACAUAUAACAAUGGAUAAGUUUAAGGUGUACAACAUGAUGAUUUGAUAUGUGUACCCAUUGCAAAACAUCACCGCACUAAGUUUUAACAUCCAUCACCUCAUGUAGUAACAGUUUUUUCCUUAUGAUGAGAACUUUUAAGAUCUACUCUCUAGAAAUUCCCAUUGUGGCUCAUUGAGUUAAGAACCUAAUAUAGUGUCCAUGAGGAUGCUGGUUCAAUCCCUGGCCUCACUCAGUAGGUUAAGGAUUCAACAUUACCACAAGCUGCUGCCAUAGGUUGCAGAUGUGGCUUAGAUGUGGCAUUGCUCCGGCCAUGGCAUAAGCCUACUGCUGCAACUCUAAUUCACCCCCAUCCCAGAAACUUCCAUAUGCUGCAGGUGCAGCUCUAAAAUAGAAAAAAAAAAAUAUCUUCUCUCAGAAAUUUUCAAAUAUGCAAUAUAGUAUUUUUAACAAUAGUGAUUAUGCUGUACAUUAUAUCCCCAGAAUUAUCUAUCUUAUGACUGGAGGUUUGUUCCUUUUGACCACCUUCACCCAUUUCCUCUACCACCUACUUCCUGCCUCUGGCAUCUCUCAAUCUGAUCUCUGUUUUUAUGAAUUUUAUUAUUUUAAAAUUCCAUCUAUAAAUGAGAUCACACAGUAUUUGUCUUCAUCUGUCUGACUUAUUUCACGUAGCAUAAUGCCCUCAGGACCCAUCUAUGUUGGCACAAGUGUCAGGGUUUCCUUUUCUAUGGCUGAGUAGUAUUUCAUUGUAUAUAUAGAUACCACAUCUUCUUCAUCCAUUCAUCUGUUGAUGGACACUCUCAUGACUUUUAACAACAUACAUGCGAUCCACCUGCUUUUGAAAUUUAUGUAAAUAGAAUCAUAGAGCAUGUUGUCCUUUGUGCCUGAUGUGGUAUUUCACUCAGUGUUACGAGCUGGGAUUCAUCCGUGUCGACACACUUAGUUGGAGUUCAUUCAUUCUCAUUGAAGUGCAGUAUUCCAUUGAAUGCCUACACCACUAUUACUCUCUAUUCUUCUGUUAAUGGUCCUGGAGGUAGUUUCAAGUUUCAGGCUAUCAUGCACAGUGUUGCUAUGAAUAAUGUACGUGGUCUUGAUGAAUUUAUGGAUGUUUCUGUUGGAUGAAAUUGCUGUGUCAUGGAGUAGACGUCUGUUCUGUUUUAGCAGACACAAGCUGCUUCUUUCCCAGAAUUGACGGGCUAGGCCUCCCUCUGAAAGCGGUUGGAUCUCUGGCUUUUUCAGGGGAAAAAGAGCUUCUGAUACAAUGUGUAAUGAGUUCAUGGCAUCCUCUGACAAGCCUCUCCAAAGGUUCCAUGUUGCUGAUUUUCCUUGAGAUAUAUAUAUAUCUAUCUCCUAGAAAUUCUCAUUUAACCAAUAUUUUACCAAUUAUGUUUGGGACAGUCACAGUGCAGUAGAAGCCAAGCACUACUAAGUGCUUAACCUAUUUUCCUCCAUUACAGUUCUUAUCUAGGCUCUGCGGAAGAUUUGCUUGCUUUAUAGGUUGAAAAACCCAUGACUGGGGAGGGGAAUGGUGGAGCAAGUAGGGAGACCCGAGACAGUUAACUUGCCCCUCUCUGUCAGCUGAUAUUGUUUCUGAACUUGUUCUCAUACCUGGCUUCCACAAAUUUAGAAUUUACUAAAAAUGGAAAGAUGCAUUUCAUAACUCUUCUCCCAACCUGCUGUUCUCUGUCACCAGAGACAGCGUGAGAAGGCUGCUGCUGGAGAUUUAAAGCCUAAAACUAUUUGAAGAGCUACAAAGUGUCAUCAAAAGAGUAAACCAGCGAGUUCCCGCUGUGGUGCCUUGGAAAUGAAUCUGACUAGUAACCAUGAGGAUGUGGGUUUGAUCCCUGGCUUCACUCAGUGGAUUAAGGAUCUGGCAUUACCGUGAGCUGUGGUGCAGGUUGCAGAUGUGGCUCAGAUCCCACAUCGCUGUGCCUGUGGCAUAGGCCUGCGACUGCAGGCCUGAUUUGACCCCUAGCCUGG